Molecule: ribosomal RNA, 292 nt
Filed under: uncultured microorganism
Description: partial 16S ribosomal RNA
Rfam family: Bacterial small subunit ribosomal RNA
Source: RNAcentral
GUGCCAGCAGCCGCGGUAAUACGUAGGGUGCAAGCGUUAAUCGGAAUUACUGGGCGUAAAGCGUGCGCAGGCGGUUGUGUAAGACAGGUGUGAAAUCCCCGGGCUUAACCUGGGAAUUGCAUUUGUGACUGCACGACUAGAGUGUGUCAGAGGGGGGUGGAAUUCCACGUGUAGCAGUGAAAUGCGUAGAUAUGUGGAGGAACACCAAUGGCGAAGGCAGCCCCCUGGGAUAACACUGACGCUCAUGCACGAAAGCGUGGGGAGCAAACAGGAUUAGAUACCCUGGUAGUCC